AUGAACGCUGGCGGCGUGCCUAAUACAUGCAAGUCGAGCGAACAGAUGAGGAGCUUGCUCCUCUGACGUUAGCGGCGGACGGGUGAGUAACACGUGGAUAACCUACCUAUAAGACUGGGAUAACUUCGGGAAACCGGAGCUAAUACCGGAUAAUAUAUUGAACCGCAUGGUUCAAUAGUGAAAGACGGUUUUGCUGUCACUUAUAGAUGGAUCCGCGCCGCAUUAGCUAGUUGGUAAGGUAACGGCUUACCAAGGCAACGAUGCGUAGCCGACCUGAGAGGGUGAUCGGCCACACUGGAACUGAGACACGGUCCAGACUCCUACGGGAGGCAGCAGUAGGGAAUCUUCCGCAAUGGGCGAAAGCUUGACGGAGCAACGCCGCGUGAGUGAUGAAGGUCUUCGGAUCGUAAAACUCUGUUAUUAGGGAAGAACAAAUGUGUAGUAACUAUGCACGUCUUGACGGUACCUAAUCAGAAAGCCACGGCUAACUACGUG
RNAcentral lists this ribosomal RNA (495 nucleotides) under uncultured bacterium. RNAcentral describes it as "partial 16S ribosomal RNA". It matches the Rfam family "Bacterial small subunit ribosomal RNA", at positions 29 to 507 of the family's 1533-position model. The record is from RNAcentral.